Molecule: long non-coding RNA, 590 nt
Filed under: Astyanax mexicanus (Mexican tetra)
Lineage: Eukaryota; Metazoa; Chordata; Actinopteri; Characiformes; Acestrorhamphidae
Description: lncRNA (ENSAMXG00005007025.1)
Source: RNAcentral
CACAAACCUCAACAAGACUCAUCUAAGAGGAAUGCUGGUGGAAGAUUUUAAAGCAGGUCAGACGGUGGUCAGGUGCACAUUCAUGCUCUCUGUUUUUUUUAUUUUUUAUUUCCCAGUGUAUAUCCCACUGUGUACAGAUUCCUAACAACACAUCAGCAUUAACAGUCUCCCUCUCGACCAGUGUCCUGAACAAGGCCACUCGCAGCGUGUAAAACAGCGUUUUGCGCCUCUCUGACAGGGUCGGUCAUGCUUGUGUGAUGCUGGACAGGACACCAUAUGCUGGUGGCCGGGAACAUUAGUCAUCAAAUUGUUAAGUGGUGGGUCAGGCUGUGUCUUUGAGCUGGAGAGAGCAGGACACAGCACCUUGACUGUUUAAGACAGGCAGGAACGCAUGGCUGGCCAUGUGGAGAAGGCAAUUAAUAGAGGCGGCAGCUUACAAGGGGUGUCUGCCGAGGACCGAGGUGUGGGCAAGUGUGUUGGAACGGGAGGCUCAGGUCUGGAGAAGCGGAGCAGAAUGAAGAAUCCUAUUGAUUGCUGAAUCCCGAUUUUACAGCAGGGCGUUUCUCCUCCUCGCAGCCCACAUUCUUCCA